CUAGAGAUGUCGGAGAAACUAACGGCUGAAUAUUCAGCUAGAGGACUCAGGCGGGUGAAGCAGCGGCGGAUCAGGAGGAUAAGAUGGUUGUGCCUCCAAGGAAGGAGCAUGGAGUACAGAAGAAAUAAGACCCGGAGCAUGAACCUGGGUCGAACUUUGGAGAAGAAAAGGUAAAGCUUUAAACAAGAAUGGGGAAUUUUACAUACAAGGACGUCGAAACAAUAUCAGGAAUUACUCAGCCAUGGAAACUGAUGAUGAAUAAAUCUCUUUAUCACAAAUCGUGCUGCUGUUCAUCUGGAGAUGGCAAAGGUGGAGAUUAAGAAUUUGAAUGUGCUUUAACCGAUUACCAACAGGGCCAAGCCAACCAGAUAAUGGGAGAAGUAACUCAGGGAGCUAAUGGCUUGCCUGGUGCUGGAGCUGAUAAGACAAGCCUCUCUCCUGUUGUGAAGAGAGUUGUGCAACAAACACAAAAGGCUGUACUGUUGAUGGUGUGGUCGAGAAAGGGAACAGCUAGGACAGAUCCACCAACUGACCCCCUGUUGAUGCCAGAAACACUGGAAGAAGAACCAGCUCUGGAGGAUUGUCACUCCGCUAAGAAGACCUGCAUAAGACUGAAGUCUGACCUAAGGAGUAAAUGAAUUUGCGUUAAAACUUCUCAUUCUCAACCUUUUUUAUUUGAGUUUUUCUUCUUCUAAGUUUUAGUUUAUUUCUUUAAUCAACAAAAGUUUUAGUUAAUUUCAUGGGAAGUCUACUUUAUCAGGUUAUUAAUUAAAUAAAUAAAAAACAAUUUCACUUUCAAAUUUGUGUACCUUUGAGAACUGAUUUAAGAGGUUAACCUUAAGCUCCAUUAUACCAAUGGUAAAAACUAUCUUAUAAUCAGGAAAAAUAAACCUUUAUAUAUAUGAAUGCCACCAUUGAAACAUCGCCUCAUCUCUAAAAACAGUUUCAAGGAGAUACAUCCCAAAAACUUGCGGCCAAAAAAGUGACAGCCACAAAGGUAGUUAUUGUGAGAAGCAGUUGACUCUGAAUUGAUUGAUUAUGUACAUUCUUUAAGAACACAACAAAGUCAGGGACUCAGAGUUUCUACAUGAAACAAGAAUAAUAUAACCCCAAAACUGGAUUUAAGUUUGCUUUAUCGUCUUAGUAUUGCAGAUCAUUGUCAAUACAUUCUUUCAGCUACAACCAAAACAUAAUAAUAAAAAAUGUUAAGCCUCCAAAUAAAAACAUAAAAGAUUUUAAAAUUUAGGCAAUGAUAUAUUGAUGAGCGGACCAUUAUCCUUUACAACAAGGUUAUCUUUACAAUACAACUAUUUAUCACUAAUCCUCAAGUAAACAAUCUCACUACUAGGCCUGGGAUUUCGGGUAUUCGGAUCGGUUUCGGGUAAGAUCCGUUCGGGUCCGGAUAUUCGGUUAUUUACAAAGUGUAUCCAAUGAGUACUUGGAACAGUUCGGUUCGGUUUCGGAUCGGUUUUCGGUCGGUUCCGGGUCGGUUCCGGGUAUUAAAUUAUUAAACCGAAACUAAUAUUUUUAUGUAUUUUAUAUUUUCUAUUUUUUUUUUAUUUUUUUUUAAAUAGUUUAAUUCAAAUCGGAUAUAUAUGUAUAGUUUGAAAGUAACUACAACGAAAUAGAAGUGGUGCAGUGGUAAAAGUUGAUGUACUUUCAACUUUCCCACCCGGGUUCGAAACCCAUGAGGCGCAAAUCCAUAUUUUUUAAACAUUAUUUCGGUUUAAACGGGUACCCGAUCGGAUCCGGAUAAAAACCCGAACCGACCCGAUACCCGUGGAUAUUCAUAAACAUUACCCAUCGGUUAAAUAUGCCUUAUCCGAAACCGAUCCGAACCGGUCCAUUUCGGGUCGGAUCCGGUUCGGUAUUCGGUUCCGGUUAAAAAGUCCCAGGCCUACUCAUUACCUACCACACCGAUUUAAAUAAACAAGAUUAAAGAGUUUCCGAAUUAGAAAAUGAUUUUACUAAAUACAUAUUCAACAAAUUAUAAUAAAUUUGAUUUAUUAAUGUAGACCAAAUAUUUUACAUAAGUGAUUUUUAAAUAUUACAGAAGUCAUUUUUAACUAAAAUAAUAAACUUACCCUUUUAUAAAUUGAAAAUCUAAUAUAAACUGAAACAAACAUAUAUUAUAAAACAUCAUUUGUUGCUACGUAAUAUGUACUAAUUAUUAUUUAUGACAUUUUUGAAACUAUUUUUAUAUUAUUUUAAAAAAUUAAAUUUUAUAAUUUUCACACUAUAUUUGAUUUUCAGUGAUUUGGCUUGGAGUUGGUGUAUUAAUUUAUUAUUGUGAAAAAAUUAGUUAUUGUAAUAAUAUGAAAUUAUUACUUUAUAUUUUUUCAACUAUAUGAAAUUAGUUAUUGAAAAAUAUGAUACUCUUGGAAAAAAUGUAGCUAUUCUUACUUUAUAUUUUUUCAACUAUAUGAAAUUGAAAUAGAAAUCAAAUAAAAAAUAUAAAUCAUUUUAUUUUUCUUAAUUUUUUAUUUAAUAAUUUUGCGUUCUCUAACAAAAAUAUUGUUAGUGGUUUUUUCAACUCAAACCAACAAAAUAAAAUUUACAAUAUGCGAGGGCUAAUAAACAAGAAGCCGAGAACUUCUAAAGACAAUAUGUGAGGGCUAAUAAACAAGGCAAUGAAGAACAUGAUUAUGAUUAGUUCACUCAAGUACAUGCCAAAUCAUAAGUUGGAAGAGUUAUUAAGAAGAUGGUUUGAAGUAACAACUUAUGAGAUUUACAUCUAUAGAACAGUUUUUCAGUUCUUAAAAAUGUCUGAUUUUCACAUAACAUUCUUUUGAUAGUUAAAAAAAUGAUCUUAGGAUAAAAUAGAUUAUAUUUAUUAUUUUUAAUAUAAAAUAAAGUUUCAAUGUUUUAUAAAAUUAAAAUAUAUUUAAAUAUAAAUAGUUUUAAUGUAAACUCAUCCGCCCGUAGGGCGGACCAAUCCCUAGUAUACAUAAAAGUAACAUAUUUUCUUUCUUCCUUUCAAAUGGCUGCAACAAAAAUGUAAUGUUUCUCACUCUAAAACUCUCCAACCUCUCUCUAAUCUCUUUGAACAUCAAAACACCAAAUUUUAAAUCCAUUUCUAAUUUUUUUCUUAUGUCUUCUCACUAAUUUAUCUUCUUUUUGCAGAUUUUUCAUUACAUGGUUCUCAUAUUUUACCCAUUCAAAGGUAGAUCUAUAAAUUUUGGAUAUAUAUUAUUGUGUGUUUUAUAUAUUAGAUUCUAAAAUGCUAUAGAUUAAAAUGUGACUGUUUCGUUUAUUAUUUAAGCAUAAAAUUAUAUUUUUGAAGUUUUUCUGUGUGUUUGAAGCCAUUUGAAUGUUUUUGAAUUUUUAGAUUUUUCAGAUCUAAGACAGACUUUGAAAGACUUCUCAGAUGACUCUCGGAAGACUUCUCAGAAUACUUUAAGCAAGUCUUCUAAUGCAUUUUAUGUUAGAAGAUUUCCCACGAAAUCUGUAGGAAGUCUUCUGCCCAAAAUGGUACAAAUUUUGGAUAAGUAUUUUGUGUGAAUUUACAUAUUAGAUUCUAAAAAGUUAUAGAUUCAACCAAAUUUGAUUGUUUUGUUUAUUAUUUAAGCAUAAAAAAAAUAUUUUUGAAGCUUUCUCUGUUUUGAAUCCAUUUAAAUGUUUUUGAAUAUUCAUAUUUUCAGAUAUGAGUUAGAUUUUGGAAAACUUCUCAUAAGACUCUUGGAAGACUCUCAGAAGACUUCUUGGGAAGUCUUCUGAUGUAUUUGGAAGUCGUCGGAAAGUCUUCCAAAGUUUUCUGCCCAAGGUGGUACAAAGGAAUGAUGUCAACUGGAGUCCAAACUUAUCUAUGUGGAGGAAUUAUAUCUACCUCCAUGUGUAACAGUUUUAUUUAUGGUCGGUUUUAUGAUUUGUAUGUGAAUUAUUUUAGUGUAAACUUGAAAAGAUGUUAAUCAUAAGAAUUUAGUAUAUAUUUUCAUGUUUUUCCCAAAGUACUUGACAUUAUUGAAGUUAUUGUUACAACAUACCAAGAAAUUUUAUAAACCAUUCCACCCACUCAUAACAAAACAUAAUAACACAAAACUUAGUAAAAUUUACUAAAACUAAGAGAGAAGACUUCACAAGAAAACUUAGCCAAAUUCACAAAAGAUCAAACUUAAAUUUUAAGUGAAAGUUAAAAUUUUAAAUCUCAUGUAAGUUAAAAAUUAUAACUUAUAAUCUAAAGAGACACAUUAAACCACAUGAUUUGAUAUUUCUUGAAGUUACUUAACACUUUUAAAAGUUAAAAACAUAUCUUGAAGUUACUUAACACUCUUGAAAUUUUACAUAGAAGACUUCUCCAGAAUUCAUCUAUAGAAGAAGUCUUCUCGGAUUAGCUAGAGACAUUAGUAAACAUAAAUAUCUGAAAUCUCGUAAUUAUCACAAAUUAGUUAUGAAUUUUAUCCAGGAGCCCUAAUAUUGACUAAUACACAUGAAUUAAUAAGAACAUAUUAAAAAGUCACUUUAAUUGUUGAGAAAACAAAAGUUUAUUAAACAUUGACGUAGAAGACUUCUACAAAAGUCUUCUAUUUAUGUCAUUUUUGCAAUUGCAAAUUUACGAAGGAAGACUUUUUAAGAAGUUUACUCUACAGAAGACAUCUUGAGAAGUCUUCCCUUGUAAAUAUUGGCUUAAUUUUAAAUUUAAAAAAAUCUCAAAAAUGACAUAGAAGAAGUCUUCUCGGAUAAACAUGUUAGUUUAUCCGAUUGACUGAAGUUUGUCAGACAUUUGGCUUUUUAUAGAAGACUUCUCGGGAAGUCUUCUAUAAAAAGUCAAGUUUUUGACAAAAUUCAGUCAAUGCCAGAGAAAACUAACAUGUUUAUCCGAGAAGACUUCUCGAGAAGUCUUCUCGAAUAAACAUGUUAGAUUGCCAUUGACUGAAGUUUGUCAGAAACUUGACUUCUUAUAGAAGACUUCUUGGGAAGUCUUCUCGGUAGAAGUCUUCUAAAAAUCUUCUCAAUGUCGCAAGAAGUCUAUCUGGAAUACUUUUGCAAUUGACUAUAUCUGAUUUUUUUUCCAUAGAAGACUGCUCUAGAAGUCUUCUCACGUAACCAAAGGUUUGACCAAAACCCAGAAUAAAAUUUGAGAAGACUUCUCAUUAAUAUUAAAUGUUUCACUAUUAUUUUUCAAUUGCAAAAGUAACCUGCGCAGACUUCUUGCGUUAGUGAGAAGACUUCGGGAAAACUUUCAGAAGACUUCUAUAGAAGUUUUUUCCGAGAAGACUUCCCGAGAAGUCUUCUAUAAAAAGUCAAAUUUUUGACAAACUUUGGUCAAUUGUAAAACUAUAACAUAUUUAUCCUAGAAGACUUCUCGAGAAGUCUUCUCUCGGAUUUUCGGUUUUUUUUUCUUAAUAAAGGAAAGUUAGAAGACUUCUAGGGAAGUCUUCUUGAUGGAGAACACAUCUGGCGAAGUCUUCUGAAAGUUUUCCCGAAGUCUUCUGAAAGUCUUCCCGAAGUCUUCUGAAAGUCUUCGCGAACAGAUCUGAGAAAAAAAAAUUAUUUCAUAUCUUGAGCCUGUUAGAUUACUUGCUUUGCUUCUUCGAGUACCCAUAACUUCACUACAAAAUCUAACAAGUCGUUAAUGACCACAAAUCAUGAGCUUCAAUGUCUCUAUGAACCUUACAAAGCUUGGAAUCAAAAUCUUAGUUUUUUUGGAUGAAUUUGAAAAGCGAGUGAAAGAGAUGUGAUUUGUGUGCAUAAGUAAUGAGAUAUGAAGAGUAAAAAUUGAAAUUUGGUGCAUUAAGAGCUUCAAAUUGGUUGUUCAUGGUGGUUAGUAUAUUGAUGGCAAUGGCAAUAUUGUAAAUACUUGGUGAAGAUGAAAAUGAUAAGGUAAAAGAAUCAUUUGCAAAAAAAAAGAAAGAAAAAAAAAUAAUGGCAUUUUCGUGAAUAACUCAAACUUCUAGGGCGAAUAGAGAAAAAAAUAUGGGUUGUUUUUGUGUUUGACCUGAAAUUUUAGGUCAUAUUUGAAAAAUAACCCUAUUAUAAUUCAGAAAUUUAGUAAUUAUCCGUCGAUAGGAUUCGAUGGCCACAUAAUUUUUUUUUCAUAGUGAUGUUUUGAAUAGUUAUAACCAAAUCAUAGAUUUGUCAAUUGCGGAUGAGAAAAAACAACAAAGAGCAGAAAUUAAACAACAAACAAAUUUUGUUGAUGAAUUUCAUUUUUUUAAUUUUCAAAACUUCGUUCUGAUUUUGAAUCUUCAAGAACAAGUAGCAAAUUACGACUAAUUCGCAAAUGCAUAAGAUACACAAUUUUCUUGAAUUAUUGUUCUGUUCUAGUAUGAACUAUUUAGAACAAAUUAAUUUUAAUUACACUUAAAAUCAGAAUAAUCUAACUAUGAGCUAAACUUUCUCCGAGUCUAGAAUUCAAUCUUUCAAAUCUUUGAACUACGUCAACGCUUAACACAUACCAAAGAACACAUCCAAUGGCAGAAGUAUCUUGUUGUGAGGGGGUCAUAUGACCCACAAAAUUUUAUAAAAAUAAAAUGUUACAUGUAUUUAGAAGAUAAUAACUUGCAAAAUCAACUUGAUGAACCAUUUGUUAUAGAAAGAUAACGAUUAGACACACAAUUUAAAAUUUCAAUUACACUUCGACACAUUUCUAGUGUGAGAUACACUUUCUAAUAGGAAAAUAUAUCUAUUCACUUUUCUAUAUCUUGUACAAAUUAAAAUAAGUUUUUUUUAAAAUUUUUUUUUUAAUACUUCAAUUUGAUUUUAUUAUUUUAAAAAUUUUAAUAUUUAUUUUUAAACUAUAAUUUUAGAUAUAAAUAUAAUUUUGUGAUAUUAUUAGAUAAAAUAAAUAAAUUAUAUAAAAUUAUUUUAAAAUUUUUAUAUAUUCUAAAUGCAAAUGCUCUACAAAAAACUUUAUAUGAAAGCAUUGGAUAGAUAUCAUUUGCAUGAUCUAAAUGCUAUUCUAAAUAGUUUUUGAAAAACUGCUGAUUGGAUAAUUAAAAACAUAAUGCAUAAGUUAAUACUCCACCAAUUAAACCCUAAGAGUUAUCACGUCAAGAGAUUUCUUGUUCUGCCAUAGUUGAUUUAAUGUCAGUGACUGUCCAAUGCUCACUAAUAAGUAUUCGCUAUAGUCACGGCCAAAUAAAAAUUAUGGUUAUGUGGAAAAUAGUCACAACUUACAAUUAAAAAAAUAAAAAUAUAUGUAGCUUGUUGUAUAAUAAAAGGUGGGAGAUGAUUUUAUAUUUGGUAUUAUAUAUUAUCUUUUAUAGAAAUAAAAGAGAGAUGAGAUGGGAUGUAAGAGUGAGAGAGAAAUAAGUAGGAGAGGUUCAUGUGUGUGUAAUACGAGAGAGAUGUUGUACCAAACUGAUUACUUUAUUUCUCAGCACAUACACAUCCUUUUAUAGUACAAAAUAUAAUGCUUAGUCAUCUCUUCUCUAAAGACAUAAAGACACAUGCUUAUGACAAGAUGGUGUUGAAGUGAGACAUGUGUCUUUUGGAUAAUCAUCUAUAUUAUAACACUCCCCCUUGAUUAUCCAUUUUGUAUUACGUAGUGCCUCGUUAAAACCCUAGUCAUGGAAAAACCCAUUAGGACAAAAACCAUGACAAGGGAAAAAGAGUACACUGUCCGUAAUCUCCUCCUGAAAAUAGUGGACCUAGCUUUCUUAUCAUAGGUCACGUAAAUGCUCUUUGUUUUUCUCGAGCUCCCUUAUGUACGAGAAAAAUCUUGUAGGAAUGUGCUUUGUUCUAUCGCUUUUGAUGUAGCCUUCUUUGAGUUGAGCAACACAAGCCGAGUUGUCUUCAAAUAUUUUCAUCGGCUUUUUCUUGUUGACUAUUCUGUUUGAUUCUUGUAUGUGGUGACUCAUUAACCGAAGCCACACACAUUCUCGACAUGCUUCGUGAAGCGCAAUAGUCUUUGCAUGAUUCGAAGAUGUCGCAACCAGAUUUUGUUUCUGGGACCGCCAAGAGAUCGCGGUUCCACCAAUUGUAAAACCAUAUCUGGUUUACGUUCGACUUUAUAAAUAGCACGUAUCUGCAAAACCAUACCAAACUCGGGGUUUCUAGGUAAACCAAUUAUGAAUCAAUACGUACCUUGGAGAGAACUAACAUGUUCUCGACGCCAUUCUAAUUUCCAUAAAUAUGAAGUGAGCUGUAUCUUGCAAAGACAUUAGUGUCUAAAACUAUAUUUCGUCAAAUACAACUUGCAAGACAUAUAAGCUCACAAAUGCUUUAUUACCAUUAUCAUCUCCAAAGUACUUAUUUAUAUAAGAUCUUACCUGGAUCUUUUAAAAUAACAUCUCUUUCAACAUCGAGAGAUCUAUUUACCAUUGGAGUACUCAAAGGAGUCGUUUUAUUCAUACAAAAGCGUUUCAAUAACCUUUUCGUAUGAUUCGAUUGAUGCACAAUUAUUCUUUCUCGGAGAUGCUCUAUCGGGAGCCCAAGACAAAACUUUGUCUUGCCGAGAUCUUUCACUUCGAACUCCUCUUUCAUAUGAGUUCGAGCAUCAUCAACCUCCUUUUGAGUUCCAAUUAUGUUCAGGUCAUUUACAUAUACAGCAAUGAUCACCAAGCCAGAUGACAAUUUCUUUAUAGAAACGCAUUGACAUAUCGCAUUAUUAGCAUAUCCCUUUUCAAGAUAUAUUCACUUAAGCGAUUGUACCACAUGCAUCCGGAUUUCUAUAAUCCGUAAAGUGAUCGCUGUAACUUGACCGAACAAAUCUCCCUGGAUUUUUCUUUCAAUGCCCCUGGGAUUUUCAAUCCCUCGGGGAGUUUCAUAUAUAUAUCGUUAUCCAACGAUCCAUACAAAUAUGAAGUCAUAACGUCCAUGAGAUGCAUCUUAAGAUUUUUAGACGCCGUUAGGCUCAUUAAAAAUCUAAACAUAAUUGCAUCUAUUACCGGGGAAUACGUUUUCUCAAAAUCAAUUCCCGGUCUUUGAGAAAAUCUUUGGGCAACUAAUCAGGUUUUAUAUUGUGUUACUUUUCUCACGAAUACCCACUUAUACCCAACAUGAUUUAUAUUCUCAGGCGUUAUGACUAUAGGUCCAAAGACAUUCCUUUUAUUUAGGGAGAAUAAUUCAAUUUGAAUGGCCUUCUCCCACUACUCCCAAUCAUGUCUUUUUAACAAAUGGACAUUGGAUCGAGAUCAUCACUUUUAUGAUCGAUCUCUUUGGACACAGAAAAGGAGAACAUUUCAUCAACAUCUUUUAUCUUAUAACUUUUUAUCAAGGGUGUAGUUGAUGGAAAUCUCAUACUUUUAUGUUCCCUUUUCGUCAUCUGGAUCAGCUUUAUUUGGUUCAUCUUGAACCUUUUCAUUUAUGCCUUCUUUCAGACAUUUUUCAGUAUCAUGUUCUUGUAGAACCUUUCCACUUAUGCCUUCUUUCAGACAUCUUAUAAUAUCAGGUUCUUCUGAAACCUUACCAUUUAUGUCUUCUUUCAGACAUCUUUUAGCAUCAGGUUCUCUUUGAACCUUCUGCUUUGCUCAACAAAUUUCUUUUUCUUUCGGGGAUUUUUAUCUUUAGAACCCGCUAGUCUCCCCCUCUUUAACUGAACCCUAGGUUCAUUCAUUUUGUUACCAUCAGUUUGUUCUUUAGGAACAUCAACUCUGGAUGGAAUAUUUUCUGCGGGUAUAUCAUGUCGUAUCUGUGAACACACUUAGUAACUGGUUUGCCAAAUUAUGCAAAUGCAUAAUUUCCUGAAUUUCCAGCCCUCCUAGAUUCGUAGGGGACCAAAGUGUAACAACAACUGUGUACACCAUGUAAUCUCUUUAGGAAUUUCUCAAAUUCCUCCCCCUAACGCUGGAAAUUCAUCCUCCGGCAAAUCGUGCCGUAAACAUAUCACCAUUUACUGGUUCAAGAUACCUUAUAUACGGCUUGUUCUAACUCUUUCAGAGUUUUAUAUAUUCCCGAGAGCAUCUUUAACUCUCCAGAGACUACUAAAUAUCAAGAUGCAACUCAAGUCAUUUUUGUCCUGCCAGACAUUUCAAUAUAUUGCAUCUAUUUUAAAUUUUCUCCAGUGACCUCGGAACAAGCCGUUUUUUCAUACCUCAAUGUCAUCUUUCAUUUCAUUCUCUGGAGAACUAUACCUUGGACUUUUGGUCCAAAAAUCUCUCGUUUUUCUAACGAGCUUUAUAUCGAAUUGAUGGCCAAUCAAUUCACUAUACCCUCAUACAUAGAGGUAGAUUCAUAAUCCUUAUUUAUAUAGCGCUUUUUCAUUUUAUUGUCGACAAUCUAUUUUCUCUUUUGUUCCAUCUUGUUAUCCGUACUAAUAUAGUUAAUCGAGAUCUCUUUAUCAUCAUCGACGAUUUACCCAGGUACCUGACUAUUAUAUUAACCAUAUCAACGGUCUCAUCAUGAGAUUCAUCCUCUAUUUAUAUUUUUUCUCCUUUUCGAGGACUCUUUGGAACCAAAGUGGUCUAUCACGUCUCUAGCGUGCCAUAGACUCAUAUAUCGUCCGUUCAGGACACUAUUUUUUUAUUGGAGCAUUUUCAGCUGGAAUAUGAGAUAUCAUUAUUUCAUCAAAAUGUCUGGCAGGCAUUUUGUAAAUGGAUUAUUCUACUUUUCAUUGUAAUCCAUUUCACAUAUCUCAUUCCAUCAGCUUAUCAUAUGCUUCUAGCAAACUUGCGAGCAUAUUUCUAAGUAUCAAUAUACUUUAUCCCUCUGGAUUGUAUAUGUCUUUAUUACAUGCACAACUGCAUGUUUACACCCGAUCAUGGGGAUCAUCUUACUUGAAUUUACUUUAUCAAGUUCUUUUUCAAGUGCGAACAUAAUUUCUCAAUGUUUCACUCACUAGGAUUCUUUAAUUCUCCCCCUCGAGAUGAUGACACUCCAUGUCUAAAAUCUCGUACUGAAUCCCACUCUAGAAUCAAUAACAUAUUCAGUUUUCCCAUUUGGGAUGAAUUAUGUUUCAAAUCCUUUAGAGUGAGAUCUUAAUUUGGGGUCUGUUUAAAGAAAUCACAUAUUAUGAACUUGUUUGAUGAUUCAUCACCAUGAUGGUUUUCUUUAUUUUCUUGACAUGCUAUAUGUGAAAAAAAUUCUGGUUUUUCAAUAUUUCACAAUAAUGUCGAUAACAUUAUUGGAGAUGGCUAUAUAUCAGUAAACUCUAAGUUUACCACUCAUUUAUAAUUUUGCCAUCUUUUUCUUAUGCAUGUCUUUUCAUCAUAAGCUCCUCUAGAGCCAAUAGUAAUUUUUAUAUUACUAGAUACUAUACUUAUUUAUUUUGAGAGAAAAGAAAUAUUUGUUACCUUUAUUAGUCAUGUACGAUGAUCCAAUAUCUGCCAAGUAUUUCUAUCUCCAUCCUGAAUCUCAAAAUUUUCAUCAGGAAGAUAAUCAUUAUAUCACCGAUACUCUCUGGUUCACCCAGAAAGUCUAUCACAUCAAGAUGAGUAUUCAAGCUAUGAAAGAUGGUUCGGGUUCAUAAGAGACGAAGUUUAAUAUACUUCCUUUCUCUCUUUCUUUUUGAUUCUCAAUAUAGAUCAGCUAAAUAUUUGACGUACGACAACUACGUACCCAAUUUUCUUUCUAGCCGUAUCUACAGCAAACCUUUUAUGUUUGCCUUUUAUCACCCGACCAUUUUUAUUUUCGUGGAAGUUCUAAUUAUUUCGCAUGGACGGAAUAUUCUUCCUCGUCCACUUCCACGACCACGAUAGGGGGUUUCAACCGCAUCUACACCUUCGUCCUUUUCUAAUAGGACUGACUUGAUGGUUUAGUAUCAUGAUUUCGUUUUCCUUUUUUUUUUCAGUUUUCAAGGAGGAUUUUCAUCAACUCCAACUAUUUAUUGAAUCCUUUCUUUCAAGGAUUUAAUUAUUCAAAGAUCUUUUAGAUCUUUUCUCAUGAUACACCUUAUCCUAUAAACCAUCAUUGAAGUGGUGUAAAUUAUCAUGGCUUUAUUCUUUUCUCAUCCGAUAUUGUUUCAAUUUAUCGAUGAUUUCUGAAAGCUCAUUUUCUCUCAGAUGCAUAUUUGCACCCACUGCCCAAGUCUUAUAAUUAUUUCUCGUAAUAUCAAGGGCAUCUAUUUUGAACUUUGUCAAAUUUGACAUGAUAACCGUAUUCAUAUAAUAAUAAUAUAAUAAAGACGAGAAUUUAAACGCAGAAAUUAAAGGCAUAAAAUAAAUGCAUAAAUUAAAUUGCAUAAAUUUAAAUAGCAUAAAUAAAAUCGGGAGGCUCAGCCUACCACAUGAUCCGAGGAGUCAUAGACUACCAUAUUGAUCAUUUUUCAAAGUCCGAGGAGACAUGGUCUACCAUUUUGACUUUUACUUUUUUCAAGGUCCGAGGAGACUUAGUCUACCAUUUUUGACCUUUUCUUUUUAUUUACGGAGGCAAAGCCUUCCACGUAAUUUUCUUUUUUCAAUUCACGGAGGCAAAGCCUACCACGUGUUUCUCUGAUCGUGAAGGCAUAGCCUACCAUAACGAUCAGUCGGGAAAGGCAACACCUAUCAUCCCGGAAAAUAAACGGAGAAGGCCUAGCCUCUCACUCCGGAACAAUAA
Molecule: long non-coding RNA, 12414 nt
Organism: Brassica rapa (field mustard)
Lineage: Eukaryota; Viridiplantae; Streptophyta; Magnoliopsida; Brassicales; Brassicaceae
Source: RefSeq, a predicted model, not a curated record